GCCGCCACCAGCAACAGCUGAGAGAGUAGCGGUGAACAGUACCGUUGACUGCAGCGCAGAGACAGUCUUCAGCUGUCUGUCCACUGUAACUCAGGACUUGUGGUGUCCCGCUCAUACACGUUUGAGGACACACCAUGUCCUUCAUUCUUAUGAAAAAGAAGAGAUUCAAAUUCAAAGUUGAAUUCGUGUUGGAGGAAUUAUCAUCAGUUCCCUUCGUCAACGGAGUUAUAUUCUGUAAAGUCAGACUCAUAGAUGGAGGCUUUGCAGUUGAGUCUUCUCGUGAACCGGUCCAAGCGAACUGUGUACACUGGAAGAAGAGAUUUUCCUUCAUGUGCAAGAUGAGUGCCAAUGCUGGGACAGGUGUACUAGACCCUUGUGUGUGCCGGGUGUCUGUGCGCAAGGAAUUGAAAGGCGGAAAAACGUUUGCAAAGCUGGGUUUUGCUGACUUAAACCUGUCUGAGUUUGCUGGGUCUGGCAGCACUACAAGAAGGUGCCUCCUAGAAGGAUAUGACACCAAGAACACCAGACAGGACAACUCAAUUCUCAAGGUUGUCAUCACCACACAACUUAUGUCUGGAGACCCCUGUUUUAAAACUCCCCCAUCUACAGCCAUGACUCUGGGAAUCCCACAGGCUGAAUCAGAGUGUCUGCUCGAGGAGAGGAAGGGAGGGGACAAAGACAUAUCCCAUUCAAUCACUGGAACUCCUGGACAUUCGGUAUCAGUCCCAGAGGACCUGGUAGCAUAUGGUCACAAAAGGACGUCCAGCUAUGCGAGUCAGCAGUCAAAAAUCUCAGGUUACAGCUCAAAUCACUCCAGUUUAACAGAUCUAAGCCAUCGGAGGAGCGCAUCAGGAGGUUCUGCCUCCACAGGCAUCGGUAGCAUCAUGGAACCCAGUGAGCAGCAGGCAGAGAGAGGAGAGAAGGAGAGCAGGUCCAGUCCCCUGAUCUCUGCAAACUUCCAUCAUGCACCUGAACACCCCUCGACCCCCGCCAAGGUUCCAAGACAUCCAGUGAAGCAGAACUCAAUGGAGAAUCAGUUGAAAAGAGUGGAUGCCACCAGGGUGGAUGCUGAUGACAUAAUUGAGAAAAUCCUACAGAGCCAGGAUUUCAGCAGUGGCUUCUUGGACUCCAGUGCAGAGGGAAGUCGGCCAUUUUGGUUUUGAUUUUUCCCGCCAAAAGUUGGUGAAGCUACAUUAUGAACACUGUGAAGCUACGAGUAAUGGCGUCCCUGUGGGGGCAUGGCUACCAUCAAUUCCUCGCCAUGAAAAUACGUUUGGCUUUUUGAUGGCUUUAUUGAACACGUAUCAUCAUGAAAAUUGAUACACAGGUCCAGGGUGGAGACCUCUUCCAUCUGAUAGGGGUGUCGCUCAUGUCGCCCCCUAGUGGAAACAGGAAGUGCCAUUUUUUGCAUCAACAUUGUCCGAUUUCCACGAAACUUCACAUGUGUGAUGAGGGACUGACCCUGAACACACCUGCAUGCAUCCCAUUACUGCCCCCUGGUGGAUGAACCAUCAACUGCUCAUAACUCCCUCAUGCUUUGUCCCAUUUCCACGAAACUUCACAUGUGUGAUGAGGGACUGACCCUGAACACACCUGCAUGCAUCCCAUUACUGCCCCCUGGUGGAUGAACCAUCAAAUGCUCAUAACUCCCUCUUGCUUUGUCCGAUUCACUCCAAACUUCACAUGAGUGAUGAGGGGCCGCCCCUGAACACACCACACCACAUGUGCUGACUGCCCCCUGGUGGAUGAACCAUUAACUGCUCAUAACUCCCUCAUGCUUUGUCCAAUUCACUCCAAACUUCACAUGAGUGAUGAGGGGCCGCCCCUGAACACACCACACCACCUUUGGUGACUGACCCCUGGCGGAUGAACCAUUAACUGCUCAUAACUCCUUCAUGCUUUGUCCAAUUCACUCCAAACUUCACAUGACUGAUGAGUGGCCGCCCUGAACACACCAGACCAUAUGUGUAACUACCUGUGACUGCCCCCUACUGGAUGAACGAGACAUUGCAUUUUUGGCCUCCUUCCAGGUUUUUUCUCACUUUCUGCUUCACACCACAGCCCCGCCAUGCCUCAGGCCCCGCGGUGGCAUGGGUGAGCGAGGGCCCACCAUCGCCGCUUGCGGCUUUAAUUUCUAUUGUGUCUGUUUCUGCAGAGGAGGGUCUCCGGUUGUUUGUAGGUCCUGGUGGGAGUACAACCUUGGGAAGCCAGCACACAAGGGUUGCAGCUGGAGCCUUUGAGCAGGUGGUGAUCAAGCGCUAGGCUUUGGGAAGCAUGUGCCUGUCAUAAAGGGUGCCGUAUUACACUGAUGCAGGGGACACAAGACGAAGCAGCGGAGUUGAGGCAGCAUCAGAAACUGCUCCCUCCUCACUACAGGAGAAUUCAUUUCUCUUACGCAAUCCCGCUGCACGUUACCUACAGCAUCUGUAGACCGGGAGAGCCCUCUAGUGUUCAAGAAGUGGAGUUGAAGGCCAAAUUGUCGGAACAUUUUGGUGGCUGAAACAAUAGUUGUGUUGACAUUUCUGUUUGUCUUCUUCUGCUCUAAGAGAACUGUAAGACAAGUGGUUAGAGCGGUAAAUCUACCAUAUUCUGUUCACCCCUCCUUGCAGAAUUUGUGUGUAUAUGUUUCUCAUGUUUUUUGUUAUUUAAAAAAAUAUGUAAAAGUCUUCAGCAUGUUUUUUUUUUCUGGUCCAGUUACAUUUUGUUUAACCAUUAUACUGGUACCAGUAGUGUAAGUGGGUGGUGAUGAAGAAUGUGAAAGUGUUUCUCUUAAACUGACUGAGUAUAGAAAAGAUAAUGUCACGAACUAUCAAGGUGUUGUCCUCUUCAAAACUGCUAAUUAAUAUGGAUGUCACUGAGGACUUUGUGAGCAAGAUGUUAUGUGAUGUGAAAAUCACAGACCACCACAAGUCCUAUUUUCUUAAUGGAAUAAGUGGGUGGAGGGGGGACUGCGUCUGUUCCUUGCAGUCUCAUUUAUUUACGUAGAAGAAUAGAAACUUGUGACUGUGGAACUGCAGGUUACAACCUCUUAGCUAAUAUCACAAGCCCGUCUUCACUGAAUCACCUCCUCACCUGGUUGUGAGGGAGGUUCAUUGUAUUGAAAAUAUAACAUGAUCACCAUUGAGUUUUUAUAUUUGGUUCCUUUAGUAUUAUAUCUAGUUGUGUGACUGUGUGUGUAUGUCAGUUGUCUAAAAAGUGAGAGCAAUGAAUUUAUUUUUAACAACAUUUUGUAAAGGUGCAAAACUCGGUAAAAUGUAUAUUUGAAAUAUAUUUUAUACCCACUUGGAAGCUAUUAUUUAGUGCGAGUCAGCAGUAUAAAGGCUAUGGUGUUUUUAAGAUUCAUGUGUUAUCUUUAAGAUGUUGAAUGUUAAUGUUAUAUUUAAGGUCAAAUCUGUAAAUUAAAAAAAAUGUGCACUCUGUAUAACUCGUUACAACUUUUAGUGGUGCAUUUCACCAGACCUUUUUGUAAAAGGUGU
Scomber scombrus (Atlantic mackerel) is the source of this 3476-nucleotide RNA transcript. It is a transcript of the gene named EEIG family member 2-like, with no coding region annotated. The record is from RefSeq and is a predicted model, not a curated record. NCBI's taxonomy places the organism in Eukaryota, Metazoa, Chordata, Actinopteri, Scombriformes, Scombridae. The transcript is spliced from 11 exons.